RNAcentral lists this transfer RNA (76 nucleotides) under Bacillus subtilis subsp. subtilis str. BSP1. RNAcentral's name for it is "tRNA-Val". The record is from RNAcentral. Lineage: Bacteria; Bacillati; Bacillota; Bacilli; Caryophanales; Bacillaceae.
GUGAACAAUCCGUUGUUCCUAUGGACGAAUUCAGGUGUUGUGGUUGACGAAAACGAAAACGCCAAGGAAGUCAUGU